Molecule: ribosomal RNA, 2512 nt
Filed under: Chaetothyriales sp. MP-2014
Lineage: Eukaryota; Fungi; Ascomycota; Eurotiomycetes; Chaetothyriales
Description: eukaryotic LSU rRNA
Rfam family: Eukaryotic large subunit ribosomal RNA (bases 1137-2512)
Source: RNAcentral
AAAUGAGUGUUAGAGAGCGAUGAAGAAAUGUUUAGGAAAUUUGGGAGAAGAUGUCUGGUAGAUAUCCCCUCCGACUGCCGUUCCGUAAGGAAGGAGCAGAUGACAUUUUUGGCAAGGUAAGAACGUGUGUGAGUGUGGAAGGGACACGAAAAAGAUCCGCCCUGCUCUUUCCUUUCCCAUGGGACGAGGAAGGAGUAUGUCGUCUUGAUCUGUACCUUCCCUUCCUACCCCUUGGCAUUUUUGCUCACAGAAAACUUCGGACAGGGAAGGAACCAAGACGUGUAGUCGCUCCUGCCGCAUAGAAAAUAAAAUGCCGAGCAAAAUUUCUAAGUCCACGUCUUCUGCCACAUAGAAAAUAAAAUGCCGAGCAAAAUUUCUAAGUCCACGUCUUCUGCCGCAUAGAAAAUAAAAUGCCGAGCAAAAUUCCUAAGUCCCACGUCUUCAGAGAUCUGUCUAAUAUAUACUUUAAGGGGUUGAAUCAUUUCUCCCAUGGCUCUUCGGUGUGAUGAGUUAAGUACUAGUAACAAAGCAAAUGUUCCGUAGGUGAACCUGCGGAAGGAUCAUUACCGAGUUAGGGUUCUCUCCCGAGGCCCGACCUCCCAACCCUGUGUCUAAUAAACCUGUAUGUGUUGCUUCGGCGGACCGGCAGUCCCCUCACGGGGGUCCGUCGCCGGGGGGAGAACGGUCUCACAGGCCGCCCCUGGAGAGUGUCCGCCGAUGGCCCAACCAAAAAAACUCCCAAACCCAAACUGUCGUACCUAAAACUUCUGAAUCAGACUUUUUUUGAUGUACCAAUCAAAACACAAAACUUUCAACAACGGAUCUCUUGGUUCUGGCAUCGAUGAAGAACGCAGCGAAAUGCGAUAAGUAAUGCGAAUUGCAGAAUUUCCGUGAGUCAUCGAAUCUUUGAACGCACAUUGCGCCCUUUGGCAUUCCGAAGGGCAUGCCUGUUCGAGCGUCAUUAUCCUCUCUCAAACCUCGGGUUUGGUGUUGGACCGCGUUGGACCGGCCCACGGCCAACUGGUCUCAAAGACAAUGACGGCGUCCCAGGGACCCUCUUCGCACUGAGCUUUCCGGAGCACGCGUCGAGUUUUCACGGGCCCAGGGACCCGGUCACCCCUAAAAUUUCUUAAGGUUGACCUCGGAUCAGGUAGGAAUACCCGCUGAACUUAAGCAUAUCAAUAAGCGGAGGAAAAGAAACCAACAGGGAUUGCCUCAGUAACGGCGAGUGAAGCGGCAACAGCUCAAAUUUGAAAUCUGGCCUCACGGUCCGAGUUGUAAUUUGUAGAGGAUGUUUUGGGCACCGCUCCGGGUUAAAUUUCUUGGAACAGAAUGUCAAAGAGGGUGAGAGUCCCGUCUUGGCCCGCGGUAGGACCUAUGUAAAACUCCUUCGACGAGUCGACUUGUUUGGGAAUGCAGGUCAAAAUGGGUGGUAAAUUUCAUCUAAAGCUAAAUAUUGGCCAGAGACCGAUAGCGCACAAGUAGAGUGAUCGAAAGAUGAAAAGCACUUUGAAAAGAGAGUUAAACAGUAUGUGAAAUUGUUGAAAGGGAAGCGCUGGCAACCAGACUCGAGCGCGGUGUUCCCCCUUGCUUCUGCCUGGGUUAUUUCACCGUGACCGGGCCAUCAUCAGUUUUGGGGGUUGGUUAAAGAUUUGGGGAAUGUAUCCUCUCCUUCGGGGGAGGACUUAUAGCCCUGGAUGUCAUGCAGCCUCCCGGGACUGAGGAACGCGCUUCGGCGAGGAUGAUGGCGUAAUGGUUGUCAGCGACCCGUCUUGAAACACGGACCAAGGAGUCUAACAUCUAUGCGAGUGUUCGGGUGUCAAACCCUUGCGCGGAAUGAAAGUGAACGGAGGUAGGAAGGCUUGAGCCUGCACUAUCGACCGAUCCUGAUGUCUUCGGAUGGAUUUGAGUAAGAGCAUAGCUGUUGGGACCCGAAAGAUGGUGAACUAUGCGUGAAUAGGGUGAAGCCAGAGGAAACUCUGGUGGAGGCUCGCAGCGGUUCUGACGUGCAAAUCGAUCGUCAAAUUUGCGUAUAGGGGCGAAAGACUAAUCGAACCAUUGGUAAUCACUACUAGGUGGUUAAGAGUCGUGUGUGAAAAGCACCGGCUAGUCGCGAGUCCGCGGCAAGGUCGUCAAAUUGCGGGAACACCCUAAAGCCUGAGGUACCGCCGACCGUCCCGAAAGGGCGUGGAGGCACCACGGAGAGAUUUCGUGGGUACGGUAACAAUCCAAGGGAUGGUCCAAGGUUCAAAACCCUGGACCGCUGUAAUGGGCAAUCCGCAGCCAAGCCUGUUUCCCUCCCCUCCCCGGGGGAAAGGAGAUUGGGUGCAGUUCAUCGACUAGAUGUCGACCGGGUUCCAGGCCCAUCGCAGCCUGGAGCCUCAAGAUAUAGUCAGGCCCUCGGGGAGACCCGAGCGGAGGAACAAAGUAAAGCGGGUCGGACUCUUUUUCACACAAGAAGCCCGCUGUACCCGAAUUCCUCCUGGCCGGUCUUUGAGAGGCCGGUGAUCAA